This is an RNA transcript of Pan troglodytes (chimpanzee), 9572 nucleotides long. It is a transcript of the gene named Rho GTPase activating protein 26, with no coding region annotated. The transcript is spliced from 24 exons. The record is from RefSeq and is a predicted model, not a curated record. Lineage: Eukaryota; Metazoa; Chordata; Mammalia; Primates; Hominidae.
CCCAGACACCGGCGGGGCGGCCGAGGCUGCUGUGAGAGGGCGCUCGAGGCUGCCGAGAGCUAGCUAGCGAAGGAGGCGGGGAGGAGGCGUCUGCACUCGCUCGCCCGCUCGCUCGCUUCCCGGCGCCGCUGCGGGUCCGCGCGGCGUUUCCUGCUCGCGAUCCGCUCCGUUGCCCGCGCCCGGAACAGCAGCACCUCGGCCGGGUCCGAGCUCGGUUCGGGAGUCUUGCGCGCCGGCGGACACCGCGCGGGGAGUGAGCCAGCGCCACACCUGUGGAGCCGGCGGCCGUCGGGGGAGCCGGCCGGGGUCCCGCCGCGUGAGUGCUCUGGGCGGCGGGCGGCCCGGGCCCCGGCGGAGGCGCGCCCCCCGGCUGGGCGCCGCGCGCACCAUGGGGCUCCCAGCGCUCGAGUUCAGCGACUGCUGCCUCGAUAGUCCGCACUUCCGAGAGACGCUCAAGUCGCACGAAGCAGAGCUGGACAAGACCAACAAAUUCAUCAAGGAGCUCAUCAAGGACGGGAAGUCACUCAUAAUCGCGCUCAAGAAUUUGUCUUCAGCGAAGCGGAAGUUUGCAGAUUCCUUAAAUGAAUUUAAAUUUCAGUGCAUAGGAGAUGCAGAAACAGAUGAUGAGAUGUGUAUAGCAAGGUCUUUGCAGGAGUUUGCCACUGUCCUCAGGAAUCUUGAAGAUGAACGGAUACGGAUGAUUGAGAAUGCCAGCGAGGUGCUCAUCACUCCCUUGGAGAAGUUUCGAAAGGAACAGAUCGGGGCUGCCAAGGAAGCCAAAAAGAAGUAUGACAAAGAGACAGAAAAGUAUUGUGGCAUCUUAGAAAAACACUUGAAUUUGUCUUCCAAAAAGAAAGAAUCUCAGCUUCAGGAGGCAGACAGCCAAGUGGACCUGGUCCGGCAGCAUUUCUAUGAAGUAUCCCUGGAAUAUGUCUUCAAGGUGCAGGAAGUCCAAGAGAGAAAGAUGUUUGAGUUUGUGGAGCCUCUGCUGGCCUUCCUGCAAGGACUCUUCACUUUCUAUCACCAUGGUUACGAACUGGCCAAGGAUUUCGGGGACUUCAAGACACAGUUAACCAUUAGCAUACAGAACACAAGAAAUCGCUUUGAAGGCACUAGAUCAGAAGUGGAAUCACUGAUGAAAAAGAUGAAGGAGAAUCCCCUUGAGCACAAGACCAUCAGCCCCUACACCAUGGAGGGAUACCUCUACGUGCAGGAGAAACGUCACUUUGGAACUUCUUGGGUGAAGCACUACUGUACAUAUCAACGGGAUUCCAAACAAAUCACCAUGGUACCAUUUGACCAAAAGUCAGGAGGAAAAGGGGGAGAAGAUGAAUCAGUUACCCUCAAAUCCUGCACACGGCGGAAAACAGACUCCAUUGAGAAGAGGUUUUGCUUUGAUGUGGAAGCAGUAGACAGGCCAGGGGUUAUCACCAUGCAAGCUUUGUCGGAAGAGGACCGGAGGCUCUGGAUGGAAGCCAUGGAUGGCCGGGAACCUGUCUACAACUCGAACAAAGACAGCCAGAGUGAAGGGACUGCGCAGUUGGACAGCAUUGGCUUCAGCAUAAUCAGGAAAUGCAUCCAUGCUGUGGAAACCAGAGGGAUCAACGAGCAAGGGCUGUAUCGAAUUGUGGGGGUCAACUCCAGAGUGCAGAAGUUGCUGAGUGUCCUGAUGGACCCCAAGACUGCUUCUGAGACAGAAACAGAUAUCUGUGCUGAAUGGGAGAUAAAGACCAUCACUAGUGCUCUGAAGACCUACCUAAGAAUGCUUCCAGGACCACUCAUGAUGUACCAGUUUCAAAGAAGUUUCAUCAAAGCAGCAAAACUGGAGAACCAGGAGUCUCGGGUCUCUGAAAUCCACAGCCUUGUUCAUCGGCUCCCAGAGAAAAAUCGGCAGAUGUUACAGCUGCUCAUGAACCACUUGGCAAAUGUUGCUAACAACCACAAGCAGAAUUUGAUGACGGUGGCAAACCUUGGUGUGGUGUUUGGACCCACUCUGCUGAGGCCUCAGGAAGAAACAGUAGCAGCCAUCAUGGACAUCAAAUUUCAGAACAUUGUCAUUGAGAUCCUAAUAGAAAACCACGAAAAGAUAUUUAACACCGUGCCCGAUAUGCCUCUCACCAAUGCCCAGCUGCACCUGUCUCGGAAGAAGAGCAGUGACUCCAAGCCCCCGUCCUGCAGCGAGAGGCCCCUGACGCUCUUCCACACCAUUCAGUCAACAGAGAAACAGGAACAAAGGAACAGCAUCAUCAACUCCAGUUUGGAAUCUGUCUCAUCAAAUCCAAACAGCAUCCUUAAUUCCAGCAGCAGCUUACAGCCCAACAUGAACUCCAGUGACCCAGACCUGGCUGUGGUCAAACCCACCCGGCCCAACUCACUCCCCCCGAAUCCAAGCCCAACUUCACCCCUCUCGCCAUCUUGGCCCAUGUUCUCGGCGCCAUCCAGCCCUAUGCCCACCUCAUCCACGUCCAGCGACUCAUCCCCCAUCAGGUCUGUUGCAGGGUUUGUUUGGUUUUCUGUUGCUGCCGUUGUUCUCUCAUUGGCUUGGUCCUCUCUUCAUGCAGUGUUCAGCCUCCUCGUCAACUUUGUUCCCUGCCAUCCAAACCUGCACUUGCUUUUUGACAGGCCAGAAGAAGCGGUACAUGAAGACUCCAGGCACUUACACAUCUAUCAUUUCAUUCUAUGCUCGUGUGAGAAUGAGAAGAGAAAUGGCCUGAACCCUAUUGUGGAAAAAGAAAACCAAAGCACAGGGAGGUGACUUGGACACAAUGCCAUGACCAAAUGAGAGCCAAUCCAGAAUUCAGGACUUCUCCCCCUCAGCUCAGCACUCUUUCCUCCAAACACCACACCGUUCCGGAAGGCAAAAGCCUUGUAUGCCUGCAAAGCUGAACAUGACUCAGAACUUUCGUUCACAGCAGGCACGGUCUUCGAUAAUGUUCACCCAUCUCAGGAGCCUGGCUGGUUGGAGGGGACUCUGAACGGAAAGACUGGCCUCAUCCCUGAGAAUUACGUGGAGUUCCUCUAACCGUGGGCCCCAGCAGAACUGCUGAGCUUUACAUGGUAUCCAUGACAACUGCUGAUUCCAGUGUUGAGGCCAUUUCUCUUUGCCACUGAGAAAUGCAGCGUGACUGACUCUGUUGCUACCUGUCAACAUGAAUGUUUCUGUGAGCUCUGGUGUCACUCAUCUCCAUGAUCAUCUCAGCCAACAUGCAUCAGUACUGCAAGAAAAGAAGUCAAUCAGCAGAGGAGACCAUUUGAUAACUAAGAGGAAGACUUGCAAAGCCGUUUUCUCAUGAGUACCCUGAAUAGGGGCACUCAUUUUGUUUCAACGGUCCAAACGCCCAACCUUCAGAAAGAGGAAGUCAGAUAGAAAUAGUCCCUGAGAGCACACUGUGUAGCUAAGCCUGCUGGGGCUGGGUGAAGAAAUUGGCGCUGAGAUCCAGGCUGGAUCCAUUGCUUUUGUUUACAAUAGGCACUCUCUCUACCCCACCUCUCAGUACUUGAGACUUAAAGUGCUACAGGCAGCUGGAUCUGUUUGCAUGCAGGAUGAAGAGGGUUAAAACACUGUUUAUAUAAGAUCCAAUCUCUCACCAUCUCUAAAGCAGCCGUUGGCCUGUCAUCAACGAGAUACAAUCCAGUCUUCUCAUGCACGGGAACACACACACCCUGCGUUUCUCCCUCCCAGGCUAGGAACCUCUCUGCCACCAAGGACUGCCAUCCAUCGCCUAGUAACCACGGCAACCCAACCUACUCUAAAACCAAACCAAAAAAAUAAAAUAACACAUCCUCUUUGCAUGACACAUUUUUUUCUCUCCCCUUUUUGGUACACUUCUUUUGAAUGGUUUUCUAACAACUUGAAGCACAGGAUCAAGGAAUUAGGGUGGUCUACUUGAGGCAGAUGGGAUAGUAGCUGGGAACUGUUCCCUUUCUGAUGAAUUUCAGCAGCAUCGGGAUAUAUUUGGAGCACACCCUAGUAACCUCUUGAGAUUAAAUUACAUAGUCUUAAUAUUUCUGUUCCUCCAUGCAACUGAUGUUUGUUUUUUAAAGGGUAAGAUGCUGCCUCCCAAUGGGUGAUGCCAUCUGACUGGUUUCCCCAUGUCCUCCCAUUCACCCAUCUCUGCUCCCACCCUUGCCUGCCUCUAACCCACCACUGGCCAGCCCCCUUGCCCUACUCUGGGCUGCUGAACACUGGCGCUGUGGUGGUUUUCAAGGUUAAUUCCUAGGCUAACCGUAUGGCCUAUAGUUUAAAAGGACAUCUAUGUUCACUGCCACUCUGAAAAAGGGAAUUCUUUCUCAGUCUUUCAAGGCUUGAGACUAAUAUAGGCCAUUGUGAUUCAGGAAGAAACCCAAGGUUGGAGGGUGGGAUGAGUACCCUCUGAAAAAGGGAAUUUGCUGGUGAAAAGAGGCUGGAUCUUGUGGAAGACUGUCUUGGAUGGGGAAGUACUACCUGGAGAUUUCAAAUUCACUUGGCCUGCAAACAACAGAGUUAUCCGUAUCUUCCACAUGUGAAUGUCAUUGCAAGGGUGACUCUAGACAAACUACAAACCGAUGGACCGUCAAGCUCCCCAGGAGCCCCUUGGAUGGCAGCGUUGCUUCAGAGUGUUUCCUGUUUCUGGAAUUCCUUGUUAGGGAACUUUAAAGAAGAAAAGAAAAACUUGAAUUGUGUUGAAUUACUGUAUCUUUUACUUUUUUUUUUUUUUUGAAAAGAUAAACUUGUAAAUAGAGUGAUUUGAAAUACUAUAUGGCAAAGUUUUAUAUUUGAUAUUCUUUAAGCUAGUUGCUCACACACUUAGGCUUCGAAUGCUGAAGAAGUAUGUUUAAGAGGGAGAGAGGGGAGGCAAAGCUAAAGAGAGUCAAGGUCACUGUCCCCCCUUCGGCCUGAAGGAAAGAGAAGACAUUUCUAUGGCCUUGCUCUCUGCUGUCCUGUUGGUGGGCACGACACAUCAGUGGUGUUCAGUCUUUAUGUGUUUUUAAGCAUCCCUUGGGCUUUGGAUUUGGAGAUGGGAAGAGCAUCUCCAGGCAAUGAGUUUUUCAAAGAAUGCCUACUUAGUAGUAAGAUGAAGCUCAGGAUUUAAAUAAGUGGGGUCAGGCAUUCGAGUUUUUGUCUUUCUUCUCAGGUGUAUUUCUUGGUACCCCCAAGAUAUCAGGCCAGAAAGAGAUGAGUCAGUUGCUGUGCUCUUUACUUCUUUUUCUCCACAUCUUCUGAGGCUUUAGAAAUGUGGACAAGCUAGUUUUCAAAUUUUGUGUGCGUCUGUAAGUUCUUAAAGAACCAGCUUCUUAGAAUGUUCAGUUCUCAAUGUGGUGCUGCUUUCCCUUCUCCUAAACAUUUUAAAACUCUUCCCUUUCACCUCCAAUUCCCGUGAUCCCAAAAGAAGAGGAAGACUCCAGGAGGGGUAUAGAUUGUGCCAUCAUAGCUUUACAGGUGGUUUUAAAGUUAACAGGGGUUUGUCAUGGUGAUUCACUACUCAGUUUAUCAGCUCAAGGAUUAUACAGCUCUUUUCCAGGAACUCACCCAGGAGCAAGCGAGACACUACCAUUGAAUCAGGGAAUAAGAAUUAAGAAUGGACAGGACCAAGACAGAACUCAAGAAAGCCAUUGGGGAAAACUCGAGAAGAAAGGGAGUAUACUAGUAGGUUAGAUCUGUGAACUUGAGGACAAGAAGACCUUGGGAAAUGGGGGCCUCAGGGGAUGUGCAUUCACAUACUAUUGUGCUUCCCAAAGAGAGACCAACAUCAUGUUUUUAACACAUUUGAUGAGGUUUUUUAUUUGUGUUUUUGUUUGUUUUUUGAGAUGGAGUCUCACUCUGUGGCCCAGGCUGGAGUGCAGUGGCGCAAUCUUGGCUCACUGCAACCUCCACCUCCCAGGUUCAAGUGAUUCUCCUGUCUCAGCCUCCCAAGUAGCUGGGACUACAGGCAUGAGCCAUCACACCCAGCUAGUUUUUUGUAUUUUUAGUAAAGAUGGGGUUUUGCCAUGUUUGCCAGGCUGAUCUCGAACUCCUGACCUCAAGUGAUCUGCCCACUUCAGACCCCCAAAGUGCUGGGAUUCCAGGUGUGAGCUGCUGCGGCCGACCACAUUUGAUGUUUGAAGUUGUGAUCUGUCCCAUCAUAAACUUACCUGGAGCUCAUGUGGAGGAACAGAAGGCCAAGAUCCUUGCUUUGGGGGUGCCUCACGAAGCAUCCCUGUAGACACUUGGCCCCAGCUUCACUGCUUGGAAGCAUGUCCCUCCCUCUUGAGUUGGCUCUGAUUUGAAACCGGGAGAAACAGAGCUGCUGCCAAUGGGAUCUUUUAGGUAACUCCCUCCCCAGCUUCCGUGUGUCUGUGCAGUGCCCAUGAGCUGCUGCCAAUGGGAUCUUUCAGGUACCCCCUCCCCAGCUUCCCUGUGGCUGUGCGGUGCCCUUGACAGAUGGCUGCUCUGUUUCCCUUUGCCCAGCCAGGCUCCCCUCCUUCCUAUUAGCUACAAAACUGGAUAAACUUCAGAAUAUGAGCCAAUGAGUAGGAAGGAACUUGAAGACUAAAGAUUUUACUCUCUCCCCUAUCCAUGCCCCCUACCUCUGACUCUCUCUGUGUGAACAGGAAACUUUAGGGUAGAUGAGGAGAAUGAAUUGGUUAUCAGAGUGGAAGACCAUGGCCCAGGAUCCCUGAGCUUUCCCAGUAGCCUCCAGUUUCCUUUGUAAGACCCAGGGAUCAUUUAGCCAUAGCCUGAAUCUUUUAGGGGUAUUAAGGUCAGCCUCUCACUCUUCCUUCAGGUUACUAACAAAAUUUCGUAGCUAAAGAAUGCCAUGGCCAGGUGCAGUGGCUCACGCCUAUAAUCCCAGCACUUUGGGAGGCCGAGGCGGGCGGAUCACGAGGUCAGGAGAUUGAGACCAUCCUGGCUACGACGGUGAAACCCCGUCUUUACUAAAAAUACAAAAAAUUAGCCGGGCGUGGUGGCGGGCGCCUGUAGUCCCAGCUACUCUGGAGGCUGAGGCAGGAGAAUGGCAUGAACCCAGGAGGCAGAGAUUGCAGUGAGCCAAGAUCACGCCACUGCACUCCAGCCUGGGUGACAGAGCCAGACUCCGUCUCAAAGGAAAAAAAAAAAAAAAGAAUGCCAUGCCAGGAGAAGACAGCUGGUUUCAAAUCCCUGCCCCCAGGCAAGUAAAACCCUGACUUGCUCAAGACAGAAGAUCUUUUCUCCUGUUUUUCAAAAUAAACAUAUAUAGGGAUGGACCCUGUGCAUUGUGGCCUGCCUUGGUGUCCUAGAAUUGGAGCCAGUCUUUAGCUUAAUGUCUGAAGUAUUUAUACGGCCAAUAUGUGUUUUCUUAUGUCAGACCAAACUGUCUUUUUGAAUAUCAGUUCAUUUCCUCUCACCGAGUGCUUUUCGGUGAGAGGCAAAGAGAGAGAAUGAACAGUCAAGUAUUGACAGACUGGCAUUAGCAGGACAGAGUCAUACUAGUGACAAGGGCAUCCCAAGGCACUUGCCCAGAGCUACAGAGUUGUGUGUGCCAUACCUGCGGCUCAAAGGGAAGGCCUUCUAGCCCCUGAGUUUCUAUCACCUGAAAAUGGCAACUGCUGUCUCAGUAAAAGCUCUGUCUUGCUUACAGAGGCUCCAAAAGCAUUCACAGUUGAGGGGGAGAAAGAAAGAAGAAGCCAAAGAUAACCUGAUCCCUGCCUGUCUGUUGGCACCUGUCAUCCUCUGGCUUCUGCUCCCAAAAGCAAGUCUGGAUGGCUGAGUUUUGUGGACAUGGCACUCCCGGAGACAGCAGUGGCCACCAUGGCACCCAGAGUUUGCCCAAGUACUGAAUGUUUUGUGAGCAACCAUGUUCCCCAAGUAGGUAGCCAGCACUGCAGAAACCAAACAGCCUCUUAGCUACCUGACUUUAAAAGGAAUGACCUAGGUGUUCUGCCAAAGGAGUUAUCUGUCAUCUCUGGCAAACUUGACAAUCAUCACUUACCUCAACAACCCUGCCCCACAUCCCUUUAUAAAGUCAGCAGGAUGUCCUCUCACCCAGCCUGUGCUGGUGUCUAACAAAUUUAUCUUGUCACGUUCAAAUGUGUUUGGCAGCCACACCGAUCGGCUGGGUGCUGAACCGCCUCUCUGUAAUUGUAGCAUCAAAAUGACAACAGCAGCAGAGCAGCGAAUCUUGCACAGCCCCACAGCAUGCCUGAGACAAGACUCCAACAAGUAAUAAUUAACUUUUUUUCUCCUGCCGCCUACAGUACCUGUCUAACUAAAGAGCUUCCCAAAGUGGAGGGAAAGGCCAUAGAAUCCAGGUGUCAUUCAGAGCCAGUCCUUGCUGAAAUGUGGUCUUCCAGUGGAAGCACCUGUAUUAUUGAGAGGAAAAAGUGUUGGAUGCAAAGUAACACCAGGACUAGAGAGAAAGAGAAAGGUGAACCAUCCUAAGGAGCUUUGGAUACUUUUUUAGAAGGAUAAAUAUUGUGUUUACUGAGGAGAAAAAAAAAAAAGCGAUCACAGAAAAAUUUCACAGCUAAUAUUUUUACAAAAGUUGUGCCAGACAUUACAGAGUGAAAACGCCUCUCAAGGUGGAAUGCUUUAGAGAGCAAAGCAUAGAUCUAGACCCUUGUGUGGGUAUGACAUGACAUGACAUGUCCAUGUCAAAAUUCACUUUAGUCAGAACCAGAGUAUUGAUAAACAAAAUGUCAGUUACCUGGAGCAGUCCUGGAGAGGUUAAGACAUUCUAUACUGUUCUACAUCAACCAUGUCUACAAAGUUGUCCAGACACCUAAAAGCAGCUUUCUUGGUUAUCCAGAUGCCAGAAUCAACCUUGUAUCUGACAAUGCACAUCUGUUGGUUCUAAAGUAUAUUUAUGUGUGUGUGUAUGUGUGUGUAUACAGCACAUAUUUACAUCUAUGAAGACACAGACACUUAUAGAGACCCACAUGAGCUGGCACUUUCUGAGCCUUUACAGCCUUUAAGACUCGGAGGUCGAGAAUUAGAGACACAAGAGAGGCUCUGGAUGGCCUAUUAAAAUGAUUAAAGAUGUAAAUUCAGUGCCAUGUUAAAACUGUUCGUAUUUAUCAAACAAUUACUGUCUACAGCUACAUUUUUUGUUAACUUACUUAAAGUCAUGUCGCAAAAAAGAUCAAACCCAUGAAUGCUUAGUAGCUAAGGCUAGUGUUCAAAAGCACUCUAAAAGACAUUUUGUCCACAUUUUGGAAAAGAAAAUAUUUGCAUGUUUAAUUCAUAAUUUAGGCUAUCUUUGAGUAUACUGUAAAGUGCUGUGUGAUAUAAUAUCAAUAAAGUACUUAUUAAAUGGCACUUUAAUGUUUUCUUUUAAAAUAACGCACUGUUCUAAACUUCAGUAUUGACUAUUGACUCGUGCAUAGAAUCCAAUGCUGUAAUUAGAAAGUAAUCUGUGACUAGAAUAGACCUUUGUCCCUGUUAGUAGCCCUGUUGCCAUGUUCAGGCUUUUAAAAAAUGCUUUUGUGUCACAAAAUAUAUCUAUAAAGAAAACAAAAUUUCUGUUCAGAGGCCUCUGAAACUUGGCUUUCUUACAUGUGGUUGGUUUAUGUGACAAUCCCUAUGAAAUGAGUGGACGUAUGGUUUUUGAAUUAAAUGACUUUUCCAUUUGGUGGUA